RNAcentral lists this long non-coding RNA (3442 nucleotides) under Olea europaea subsp. europaea. Lineage: Eukaryota; Viridiplantae; Streptophyta; Magnoliopsida; Lamiales; Oleaceae. The record is from RNAcentral.
GUUAAUUGCAAUUGCGGCAAUACAUAACCUUGAGAUUCAUCAAAUGGAUGUAAAAAUGGCAUUUCUAAACGGCAAGUUAAAAGAUGAGAUAUAUAUGAAAAAACCUGAAGGGUUCGUGUCUCCAAAUGAAAGCCAUAAAAUAUGUAAACUUGUUAAGUCGAUAUACAGCUUAAAAUAAGCUCCUAAGCAAUUGCAUCAGAAGUUUGACAAAAUAAUGUUGUCAAAUGGAUUUAAAAUAAAUGAAUGUGACAAGUGUGUAUAUGUAAAGAAUACACCGAAUGCCUAUGUGAUAGUAUGUCUAAAUGUAGACGAUAUGUUGAUAAUGGGCAAUAAUCACGAAAUGUUAACAAACAUCAAGAAAAUGCUAACAAGGCAUUUUGACAUGAAAGACAUGGAUGUGGCAGAUGUAAUACUAAGGAUAAAGAUCUCUAGAACAUCGGAAAGGAAUCGUAUUUUCCCAAUCUCAUUAUGUUGAGAAAAUACUUAAGAAGUUUGAAGUAUUUGAGGAAAGUCCUACAAAACUCCUAUUGACACAAGUCUACACUUGGUCAAAAAUAAGGGAGAAAGCGUGUCACAACUAAGAUAUUCACAAAUAAUUGACAGUCUAAUGUAUGUUACGAACUGCACUCGAUCGGACAUUGCGUUUGCGGUGAAUAAACUUAGUAGAUUCACGAGUAAUCCAAAUCAUGAUCAUUGGGGGCAUUAAUAAGGGUCCUUAAGUACUUGAAGUAUACGACAUAUGGAUUACAUUUCACAAAAUAUCCUAUGGUAUUAGAAGGAUAUUGUUACACGAAUUGGAUAUCUGAUAUGAAGGAUUUCAAAUCCACAAGUGGCUAUGUGUUUACACUUGGUGGAGCUGCUAUCUCAUGGAAAUCUUCAAAUAAAAUGUAUAUAGCUCAAUCAGCUAUGGAAUCAGAGUUUAUUGCUUUGGAUAAAGCUGGUAAAGAAGCAGAAUGGCUUCAAAAUUUUUUAGAAGAUGUUUCAUGUUGGCCUAAGCCGAUACCAGCCAUAAGCAUACACUGCGGUAAUCAAUUGGCUAUUGAAAGGGCUAAAAGCAGCAUGUACAAUGGUAAGUCUAGACAUAUAUGUCGGAGACAUAAUACCAUUAAGCAACUGAUCUCAAUUGGCAUCAUCUCCAUAGAUUAUGUGAAAUCAAAGGAGAAUGUUGCGGAUCCACUUACAAAAGGUUUGCCAAGAUAUCAAACACGUUGCCUAUCGAGAGGGAUGAGAUUAAAGCCUACUACGUUAGAGUCCUUGUAAUGGUAACCCUACCUUGUUGAUUGGAGAUCCCCAAGAUCUUGAUUCAAAGGGACAACUAAGUUAUGAGGAUUCCAUGAAGCACUUAGGAAAUAAUUUUCUAACUCAUUCCUAUGAUACCAAAGUGCUUUCUGCAGAAUUGGAAAAGGUUAAGAUAAUCUUUUAAUGAUUCAUAUAUCUUGAUUAAGUCAAGUGGAGUAUGGCAGAUACUUUUAAUAGGAGGUCACCUAUGUGAGUGUGAAGUGAGGCCGCUUCAAUGAGAAUUAUUCAAGGCUUAAAUUCUCUAAAAUACUUGCAAAACCAAGAGGGGUUCAGGGCUAAAAUGAACCAAGUCAUGAGAACCAAGAACGGAAUUAGGGAAGACAUUGUGUGAGUAUUGUUGUCUUGGCUCACACUAAUGGCUGGUCGGUUCAAAACAUCACGUUCACCAACUAGCCAAGUAAGCUCGAUAAUAUUUCACUAGGGAAGGUUCAAAGUCGGAAGCUACCUUGUCCGAUGCAAUAUUUCUCCGCUCUCUCUCUACAAUUGCAUGUAUCGUGACGCAUAUCAUUUGCAUACUCGAAUUUCCAUUCAUGUGGGGGAUUGUUGGAAAUUGGUUUCCAAAUUAACAUGAAAGAUUGGAAAUUGGUUAAGUAAAAAUUGAAAUCGAAAAGUGUGACUAACGUGUCAACUUCGGCCGAAUAUUCGGACUUGAUCCGAUGGUCAAAUUACAAAAGUAAAAAGUUCAACUUGUUCUACUCAUCGAAUAGAUAAUCGUAGUAUAUUUGGACAUUAGAAACCAAUUUCGGGUGAAUGAGAAAUUGCGGUCCAAAGAUUGGAGGAAAAUACGAUGGAAAAAAGCUCGAGCGAAAUUCUAGUGAAAAGCGAGGGAAAUAUGUUCUGCUCGGAUUUUUGAAACGCUGCUCGAGCAAAAAGCUAGCGAAGAUGAAAUGUUGCAACUAUUCGAAAGAUUACACGAUUUAGCCCACACCACUUCAUCCACACCCCUUCCUCAUCUAUAAAUAGGACACCUUGGACGUCCCUAAGAGAACACCAACUCAUUUUUUGCAUUGAACACUCUUCUUCUCUUACAAAAUCUCUCUCCCUUUUUCUUGCAUAAAAUCCCUUUGUAGAGGGGGAAAUUCCGUCUGCUAGCCGGUUCUUGUGAUGUGAAGUGCUGCUACUACAAGACUAAACAUCCAUUGUAUUUUGGGAGACGAGUGCCGUCAACCGUAAGCACCAUAGUGGGGCAAUAUUAUCUUAAGGAGAAAGUGUCAUCACUUGCCUCAGAUUUCAUUUCUUUUUCUUCUCCUUUUCUUGUUUCAUUUUGAUAUCUUGAUUUUGUGGUUUUGUACUACACUUUCAAGUUCACAUAUCGAUAGUUUGAUCACGCUCCUGCGGGUUAAACAUUAAAUUGUUUUGAUAUAACCAUCAUACAACUCACAUAAACCCCGGAACCAAUACUUGCUUCGUGAUUCAUGGACGCUACACGAUCUUGCAUCAGGUUGGAGGAUUUGAAGAUAUUUCAUCAAAAAAUGACACAUGAAUUUACUCUAUUCUUGCAAGUAAUUUUUGGCACCCUUAUGGCCAAGAAAAUAUCACUGAAGUUUUUGCACGGCAAUCAGCUUAUUGCAUUGUCUGAAAAUAGAAGAUCAAAAACCGAAGUGUACACUCCUUUGCUGUCUGACAUAAUGGCUAAGGUGGUUAACGACGAAUUGAAAUGUUGGAUGACAUGAUUUACACACGACUUUCUAGGGAAAAUGAACAAGAUGAGCAGUGGAUGGAGGAGUUAUCUUUGAGGAAGCAGCUGAAGUUGCAGAAUGUUGGUGCUCCUGCAUAUGAGCCUACUUGCGUGGGAAUUGAACAUGAUGCCACCGUUUACCAUCCAAUGCCAGUUUCAAGUUAUGUACCGUCAGGCAGAAAGAAUUCCUUUUUAUAUGAACAAACCAUAAAUCUCCAAGAAUACAGUUGAUAAUAAUUCCAAUAGGAAAAUGGAAGUGAGAGAGAAUGACAGAAAUAAGCAGAAUGACAAUCACAGCACAGCAAAAGAUAGUCCAAAACAUGCAGAGCAUUACCUGGAUGAUGUCAACGAAACAGGUGUGCUAACCACAUCUCAAGCUGUAAUUACAAGUCAAGAAAAUCCCAUUCUGUCACACAGACGUUGUCUAUACUUUAUGCGUUAAAUUAUGCACAUUUUGGUCGGCGU